This 995-nucleotide ribosomal RNA is filed under the name uncultured bacterium. RNAcentral describes it as "bacterial SSU rRNA". It matches the Rfam family "Bacterial small subunit ribosomal RNA", at positions 355 to 1375 of the family's 1533-position model. The record is from RNAcentral.
UGGGGAAUAUUGCACAAUGGGGGAAACCCUGAUGCAGCGACGCCGCGUGGAGGAAGAAGGUCUUCGGAUUGUAAACUCCUGUUGUUGAGGAAGAUAAUGACGGUACUCAACAAGGAAGUGACGGCUAACUACGUGCCAGCAGCCGCGGUAAAACGUAGGUCACAAGCGUUGUCCGGAAUUACUGGGUGUAAAGGGAGCGCAGGCGGGAAGACAAGUUGGAAGUGAAAUCCAUGGGCUCAACCCAUGAACUGCUUUCAAAACUGUUUUUCUUGAGUAGUGCAGAGGUAGGCGGAAUUCCCGGUGUAGCGGUGGAAUGCGUAGAUAUCGGGAGGAACACCAGUGGCGAAGGCGGCCUACUGGGCACCAACUGACGCUGAGGCUCGAAAGUGUGGGUAGCAAACAGGAUUAGAUACCCUGGUAGUCCACACCGUAAACGAUGAUUACUAGGUGUUGGAGGAUUGACCCCUUCAGUGCCGCAGUUAACACAAUAAGUAAUCCACCUGGGGAGUACGACCGCAAGGUUGAAACUCAAAGGAAUUGACGGGGGCCCGCACAAGCAGUGGAGUAUGUGGUUUAAUUCGACGCAACGCGAAGAACCUUACCAAGUCUUGACAUCCCUUGACGAUGCUGGAAACAGCAUUUCUCUUCGGAGCAAGGAGACAGGUGGUGCAUGGUUGUCGUCAGCUCGUGUCGUGAGAUGUUGGGUUAAGUCCCGCAACGAGCGCAACCCUUAUGGUCAGUUACUACGCAAGAGGACUCUGGCCGGACUGCCGUUGACAAAACGGAGGAAGGUGGGGAUGACGUCAAAUCAUCAUGCCCUUUAUGACUUGGGCUACACACGUACUACAAUGGCGUUAAACAAAGAGAAGCAAGACCGCGAGGUGGAGCAAAACUCAGAAACAACGUCCCAGUUCGGACUGCAGGCUGCAACUCGCCUGCACGAAGUCGGAAUUGCUAGUAAUCGUGGAUCAGCAUGCCACGGUGAAUACGUUCCC